GCCGGUUGUUCCUGGGAGACAAGAGGCCCUGUAAAGGCCACGCUUCGGCUAGGAAGGUUCGAUUCCUUCAACCGGCA
This 77-nucleotide transfer RNA is filed under the name Mycolicibacterium frederiksbergense. Its description in RNAcentral is "tRNA-Tyr". The record is from RNAcentral. Lineage: Bacteria; Bacillati; Actinomycetota; Actinomycetes; Mycobacteriales; Mycobacteriaceae.